This 440-nucleotide ribosomal RNA is filed under the name uncultured bacterium. Its description in RNAcentral is "partial 16S ribosomal RNA". It matches the Rfam family "Bacterial small subunit ribosomal RNA", at positions 338 to 795 of the family's 1533-position model. The record is from RNAcentral.
CCUACGGGCGGCAGCAGUGGGGAAUAUUGCACAAUGGGGGAAACCCUGAUGCAGCGACGCCGCGUGAGUGAAGAAGUAUUUCGGUAUGUAAAGCUCUAUCAGCAGGGAAGAAAAUGACGGUACCUGUUUAAGAAGCCCCGGCUAACUACGUGCCAGCAGCCGCGGUAAUACGUAGGGGGCAAGCGUCAUCCGGAUUUACUGGGUGUAAAGGGAGCGUAGACGGCAGCACAAGUCUGGAGUGAAAUGCCGGGGCUUAACCCCGGAACUGCUUUGGAAACUGGGCAGCUAGAGUGCAGGAGAGGUAAGUGGAAUUCCUAGUGUAGCGGUGAAAUGCGUAGAUAUUAGGAGGAACACCAGUGGCGAAGGCGGCUUACUGGACUGUAACUGACGUUGAGGCUCGAAAGCGUGGGGAGCAAACAGGAUUAGAUACCCUGGUAGUC